Molecule: long non-coding RNA, 445 nt
Filed under: Pomacea canaliculata
Lineage: Eukaryota; Metazoa; Mollusca; Gastropoda; Architaenioglossa; Ampullariidae
Description: uncharacterized LOC112556324
Source: RNAcentral
UUUCCCACCUGAAAUAAGGGGGGCGGAAAUUCAGCCAAUCGGAGUGCACGCAAAAUAUGCCAUAAAAGGUCAGUGUAACCCAAACCUGUCCACUGCGAUAACUGUACGAUUACUAAAAUCAGAUCAACACAGCGGCGUUAAGUAUAAGUCUGGCGAUAUUAUAAGUUUUUUGAGUAUACUUUUUAUGCGAGAUUCAUUCAGCCUCUUCAACUGUUUCACAUUGUGUAUCACGUGAUAUUCAUCCGUGUUGUUCAUUGACGUAGAUAGGAUCUACGUUCAUGGUGUUGUUUGCUGCUUAAUGUUUACAGAAAGGGUUCUGAUCGGAUUGUUUUAAUAACGAAGGUCCAUUCAAGAAGAUGCCAGAUGGAAAUUAUGGAAUCUGCGUUGAACUUGUCAUGAGACAAAAGCAGUGUUGUAAAUUAUCUUGCAUGUAAAAAAAAAAAAA